RNAcentral lists this ribosomal RNA (253 nucleotides) under uncultured bacterium. Its description in RNAcentral is "partial 16S ribosomal RNA". It matches the Rfam family "Bacterial small subunit ribosomal RNA", at positions 524 to 776 of the family's 1533-position model. The record is from RNAcentral.
UACAGAGGGGGCAAGCGUUGUUCGGAAUUACUGGGCGUAAAGGGCGCGUAGGCGGCCUGUUAAGUCGAACGUGAAAUCCCUGGGCUCAACCCAGGAACUGCGUCCGAUACUGGCAGGCUUGAAUCCGGGAGAGGGAUGCGGAAUUCCAGGUGUAGCGGUGAAAUGCGCAGAUAUCAGGAGGAACACCGAUGGCGAAGGCAGGUCUCUGGGCAUUAACUGACGCUGAGGAGCGAAAGCAUGGGGAGCGAACAGG